This 253-nucleotide ribosomal RNA is filed under the name uncultured bacterium. Its description in RNAcentral is "partial 16S ribosomal RNA". It matches the Rfam family "Bacterial small subunit ribosomal RNA", at positions 524 to 776 of the family's 1533-position model. The record is from RNAcentral.
UACGGAGGGAGCCAGCGUUGUUCGGAAUUACUGGGCGUAAAGAGCACGUAGGCGGUUACUCAAGUCAGUGGUGAAAGCCCGGGGCUCAACUCCGGAACUGCCUGUGAAACUAGCUAACUAGAAGCUUGGAGAGGCGAGUGGAAUUCCGAGUGUAGAGGUGAAAUUCGUAGAUAUUCGGAAGAACACCAGUGGCGAAGGCGGCUCGCUGGACAAGUAUUGACGCUGAGGUGCGAAAGCGUGGGGAGCAAACAGG